RNAcentral lists this transfer RNA (69 nucleotides) under Marmota marmota marmota (Alpine marmot). It matches the Rfam family "tRNA". Rfam says of the family: Transfer RNA (tRNA) molecules are approximately 80 nucleotides in length. Their secondary structure includes four short double-helical elements and three loops (D, anti-codon, and T loops). The record is from Rfam by way of RNAcentral. Lineage: Eukaryota; Metazoa; Chordata; Mammalia; Rodentia; Sciuridae. RNAcentral also lists the same sequence under 1 other name.
GGAGAUGUGGCUCAGUGGCAGAGCGCUUGCCUAGCAUGCAUGAGGCACUGGGUUCUAUCCUCAGCACCA